RNAcentral lists this long non-coding RNA (240 nucleotides) under Phoenix dactylifera (date palm). Its description in RNAcentral is "long non-coding RNA (PDAC_LNC011180)". The record is from RNAcentral. Lineage: Eukaryota; Viridiplantae; Streptophyta; Magnoliopsida; Arecales; Arecaceae.
UCAUAUAAGCACCGUACUUAGCCCUCAAAAGGGCACUCCAUAGACAAUCUGGCUCUAAUGUAAAUCUGGCUGCAUGUCGCAUUGCUAGCACCUCCCAUCUCAUCACCAAAGACUGGAUCCCCUGACCCCUUUGAUAUACUAGCUGACAGACCACCUCCCAGGCCAUGAGAUGCAUCCCCCUAUCUCCCUCCUCGGCUGCCCCAAAUGAAACUCCUGAACAGCUGCUCCAACGACCUCAAG